GGCGGGACGACCCGCCUCCCCUGCUGCACCGUCGGGACGGCCUGC
This 45-nucleotide non-coding RNA is filed under the name Oryza meridionalis. Its description in RNAcentral is "Guanidine-II sequence". It matches the Rfam family "Guanidine-II riboswitch aptamer (mini-ykkC)". From Rfam's summary of the family: Simpler in structure and has fewer highly conserved nucleotide positions than the ykkC-yxkD leader. Despite this each of its two stem-loop structures directly bind free guanidine. Lineage: Eukaryota; Viridiplantae; Streptophyta; Magnoliopsida; Poales; Poaceae. The record is from Rfam by way of RNAcentral.